AUGGCGCGCGGCGGCCGCUCCGAGAAGGGCGGCGGCGGGUGCGGGCGGUGCUGCCUGGGGUUCCUGCUCAAGCUCCUCGCCUUCCUGCAGGCCUUCGCCGCCCUCUCCGCCGUCCUCUACGCCGCCUCCAUCCUCUCCCGGUGGGCGCGCCACCAUGAGCUCCACAUCCACCACCUCCUCCCAGACCUCUGGUUCGCGUGCGCCGUCAUGGCCGCCGGCCUCCUCUACUGCGCCAUCCUCCUCGCGGGCUACGUCGCCGCCGAGAUCAGCAGCGGCUGCUGCCUCUGCUUCUACACCGGCUUGGCAAUGGUGAUGAUGCUGCUCGAGGCCGCCGUGGCCGGACGCAUCCUCCUCAACGAGCACUGGAUCCAGGAUCUGCCGUAUGACCGCACCGGAGAGCUCCAGAACCUCGUCUCCUUCGUCCAUGACAACCUCGACCUCUGCAAAUGGGCUGCUCUCGCUACCGUUGCCACCCAGGCACUCUCGCUUUUGUUGGCGAUGGUUCUACGAGCCAUGGUUUCACCCACGAGUAGCGACUACGACAGCGAUGAAGAUUUUGUGGUCAUAAGGAGGCCGCUGCUUAUUGCCCAAGGUGCUCCAUCCUAUCUCCCUACCACGGCUGACCCCAGAGGUGUCCAUCCGAACCUAUGGAGCUCAUCAAUGAGGCAGAAGUAUGGACUGAACUCCUCAGGGGACUACACCUACAACACACUGGGUCAAAAUGCAGCGCCACCGCAGUGA
Molecule: ribosomal RNA, 741 nt
Filed under: Triticum aestivum (bread wheat)
Lineage: Eukaryota; Viridiplantae; Streptophyta; Magnoliopsida; Poales; Poaceae
Description: partial small subunit ribosomal RNA
Source: RNAcentral